Molecule: ribosomal RNA, 253 nt
Filed under: uncultured bacterium
Lineage: Bacteria
Description: partial 16S ribosomal RNA
Rfam family: Bacterial small subunit ribosomal RNA
Source: RNAcentral
UACGUAGGGGGCAAGCGUUGUCCGGAUUUAUUGGGCGUAAAGAGCGUGUAGGCGGCCAGGUAGGUCAGCUGUGAAAACUCGAGGCUCAACCUCGAGACGUCGGUUGAAACCGUAUGGCUAGAGUCCGGAAGAGGAGAGUGGAAUUCCCGGUGUAGCGGUGAAAUGCGCAGAUAUCGGGAAGAACACCUAUGGCGAAGGCAGCUCUCUGGGACGGUACUGACGCUGAGACGCGAAAGCGUGGGGAGCAAACAGG